Molecule: ribosomal RNA, 504 nt
Filed under: uncultured bacterium
Lineage: Bacteria
Description: bacterial SSU rRNA
Rfam family: Bacterial small subunit ribosomal RNA
Source: RNAcentral
AUUGAACGCUGGCGGCAUGCCUUACACAUGCAAGUCGAACGGUAACGGGCCUUCGGGUGCCGACGAGUGGCGAACGGGUGAGUAAUGUAUCGGAACGUACCUUUCAGUGGGGGAUAACGUAGCGAAAGUUACGCUAAUACCGCAUAUUCUGUGAGCAGGAAAGCAGGGGAUCGCAAGACCUUGCGCUGAUUGAGCGGCCGAUAUCAGAUUAGCUAGUUGGUGAGGUAAAGGCUCACCAAGGCGACGAUCUGUAGCGGGUCUGAGAGGAUGAUCCGCCACACUGGAACUGAGACACGGUCCAGACUCCUACGGGAGGCAGCAGUGGGGAAUUUUGGACAAUGGGGGCAACCCUGAUCCAGCCAUGCCGCGUGAGUGAAGAAGGCCUUCGGGUUGUAAAGCUCUUUCGGUCCGGGAAGAAAUCGUAUGGGUUAAUACCCUGUGCGGAUGACGGUACCGGCAUAAGAAGCACCGGCUAACUACGUGCCAGCCGCCGCGGUAAAACCC